GCGCCGCUGGUGAAGUGCUAGCAUACAAGAGUCCCAUUCUUGCGACCCAGGUUCGAUUCCCGGGCUGCGCA
This is a transfer RNA of Loxodonta africana (African savanna elephant), 71 nucleotides long. It matches the Rfam family "tRNA". Rfam says of the family: Transfer RNA (tRNA) molecules are approximately 80 nucleotides in length. Their secondary structure includes four short double-helical elements and three loops (D, anti-codon, and T loops). Lineage: Eukaryota; Metazoa; Chordata; Mammalia; Proboscidea; Elephantidae. The record is from Rfam.